Bacteroidales bacterium Barb6XT is the source of this 177-nucleotide small RNA. It matches the Rfam family "Bacteroidales-1 6S-Bacteroidales RNA suggested". NCBI's taxonomy places the organism in Bacteria, Pseudomonadati, Bacteroidota, Bacteroidia, Bacteroidales. The record is from Rfam.
AGCCGCACUUAUUCGAUUGGGAAACUCAUCAAUUCUUUAAAUUCCGAGACAAGCUUUUGUCGCUAAUGGCGGGCCGCGCCUUUCGAGGUAUGCAUCGCACGGCGGAUUACAACGGUGGCAAAGCUCUCAAAUCCUGUCACGCGGAGUUUGUUCAUAUCUAAUAGUGCGGCUUUCUAA